Molecule: long non-coding RNA, 1675 nt
Organism: Vicia villosa (hairy vetch)
Lineage: Eukaryota; Viridiplantae; Streptophyta; Magnoliopsida; Fabales; Fabaceae
Exons: 5
Source: RefSeq, a predicted model, not a curated record
AGUUCUUCUUCCUCUCAAACGACGAAGCGGCGCGCUUCCUAAGCUCAUCGGAAACGGCUUCGAAACGCCACCCUUCCUUCGUAACCUCCAUCCCGUUUCCAUCCUCAAUAUAGACCUCAACACAAUCUCACUCUUCUCUCUAAUUUAGUAACAUCACAGAAAACCCUAACCUAAAUCUGAAAUUGAACGAAAAUCUUGGAGCUUCUUGAGUAAUAACCAUGGGGGACUGGUUCAGAGAAUCCAAGCUUUUGUCAUAGUGUCAAGAACAGAAGGAAGAGAUGAAGAUGGACAUAAGCUUGGAUUCUUAUCUAAAAACCCUAAAGUUGAAGACAACGAAAUAGAGCAUGAUUUUAUUCAAUAGGCACAGGGUUUAUGUUCAUAUAAGCAAAUCGAGUGGCAUGGUAACAAAUAAACAAGAAAAUCACACAAAGACUUACCGACCCGGAGCUAGUUCGGGGAAUUCCGAUGACGGUGAAAGGCUCAGUUCAGGUACUCUUUGAUUCCUCAUUCAUCCCUUUUGUUUCUUUUCUUCUGAAACCUUUUGCAAAUUCUGGAAGAUGCUAUUGGUUGGGUUUUGUCGUCGCCAUGGUGUAUGCUUCAGUUGUGCGGUUCGUUGAAUGUGCGGUUGUUACAGGUUUGUGUAUGCUGAAGAAGGAUUUUAUGGAGAGUUUUUGUAUGGUUGCGUUCUUGUUGAGUUUUGUACAAGGAUUUGAGGGAAUGAGCUGGAGUUGAAGGACUAAUUUUGUAUAUUCUACAGGUGAGGUUUAUGUAGAUUUUUUCUCUCCUUUGCUUGAUUCUUAGUGCCAUUUUUAUAGAAGAAAGUGAGUGAACUUCUUGGAUAAAAGCUGAAGGAUAAAAGCAAACUUAACUAUUAAGUUAAGUCGACAUUAUACUUACCCUGUGCUUGGCUACAUUACUCCCUGGUUGAAUUUGGUGCAAUUCUUGUUAGCUAUAAAAACAGGGUGCAGCCAAUGCUAAUAUUAGGAGGAUGAUUGUGCUGCUGUUAUGUAUGGUGGAUCGAUGAUAAUAUAGAGUCUAUUGAUGCUGCAAUUUUUUUAUGUUGAUAGCAGAAAGGAUCAUAGUAAUUAAGGUGAACAUGAUAAUAUGAAUGAUUUAGUGGCAUUUUUAAAGUUGUGUGAAAUUUUAAAACCAAUGUUGCAGUUUCUCAGCUUGUAAAAUUUCAAUGACAGUUUUAUUUCCACUACUAAAUUGCAAUCAUUGUUAGUUCAUUGGCAAUGAGAACAUCUCUACCCAAGAUGAUGAGUACAAGGUGUCAUGUUUAUAAUUCAAAUUAAAGAUAUUGUUUUUGGAUAUGAUUUGCUGAUAUCGAUAUGUUUCAUGCAGGAUGCCACGAAUAAAUCGUUGAAAUUCGACAUUGACAGAGGCAACUUAAACCUGUUUUUUGAGGAGAUAUUCUCUGGUUCAUAAUGCAUCAUGACUAUCUCAUAUGUGAUGUUAUACGUUCAGUCACAUUUAAGUUAAAAAAGGAAAAUAAGACAUUAAAAGGCUUAACAACUUAAGGCUGCUUAGAAAUUGGAGCUGCCAAUUUUUGGAAGAAAAAAGCGACCUAAACCAGUAUACAGAUAUAUUAGAAGUUAAUUUGUGCAUUGUUGGAAAGUCAAUUAUGGCCAUCGAGGAGUCACUUCGGCUGGAGAGAACUAGUUUUCUUAGGGAG